RNAcentral lists this ribosomal RNA (250 nucleotides) under uncultured bacterium. RNAcentral's name for it is "partial 16S ribosomal RNA". It matches the Rfam family "Bacterial small subunit ribosomal RNA", at positions 355 to 622 of the family's 1533-position model. The record is from RNAcentral.
UGGGGAAUAUUGCACAAUGGGGGAAACCCUGAUGCAGCAACGCCGCGUGAGUGAUGACGGUCUUCGGAUUGUAAAGCUCUGUCUUCAGGGACGAUAAUGACGGUACCUGAGGAGGAAGCCACGGCUAACUACGUGCCAGCAGCCGCGGUAAUACGUAGGUGGCAAGCGUUGUCCGGAUUUACUGGGCGUAAAGGGAGCGUAGGUGGAUAUUUAAGUGGGAUGUGAAAUACUCGGGCUUAACCUGGGUGCU